RNAcentral lists this long non-coding RNA (6234 nucleotides) under Fragaria vesca (wild strawberry). RNAcentral's name for it is "long non-coding RNA (FVES_LNC003780)". Lineage: Eukaryota; Viridiplantae; Streptophyta; Magnoliopsida; Rosales; Rosaceae. The record is from RNAcentral.
GUAAGUUCAGCUGGGUUGAUUGAGUGAGUACUUUCCUUUUUGAGUUUUUCUUUCACAAUCUACUCAUUAUUCCAAAACAAAGAAAGCACCGGGCGAUGUGAAAAUGUGUGAUUACAGUGAAGCCAACCCUUGUUACGGCUGGUGCACAUUUUCAUCUGGUUGACUGAGUCUUAUCCCCUUUAAAACUCCAGUCCACAUUUUGGAUCUGGUGCUUUUUGAUGUUAGUGUUUUAACUAAUCCAUCUCAGAAAUGAGUAAAGUCAAGGUGCCUAUAGUGCUUCCAUGUCUUGGUGCUUAGUUACCACAAUUUCCAAUUCGUCUAUGCAAAACCAAUCACCUAUUCACCUCAGUCAAUACUCAAUCUACAAACUUUAUGAUUUUUAAUACAAAUCACCUUUUAAAUGCCGAGUCUUGGUUCACUUUUAAUGCACAGAAAUCACCUAUUAUGAAUUUUUAUGUACUUGCAGGCUUGUUGCAUAGAAUAUAUAAUCUUGGAAGGUGACAACCUGUCUUCGCUAUUCCCAAAUGCACACCUGAACUUGGGUGGAUAUGAGUUAAAUGCUCACGUUUUGUUUGCGAUUCUGACCACCCUUGCUGUUCUACCUACUGUUUGGCUUCGAGACCUCAGCGUUCUUAGUUAUAUCUCAGGUGAGUUUUAACUAAGCCAAUUUCAUGUUCAACUACUGCACUGAAUCUUUUGAAAACUUCUGACAUUAUGCUUCUUCGGUUCCAGCUGGUGGAGUUAUUGCGUCGAUUAUGGUAGUUCUUUGCUUGUUUUGGGUUGGUCUUGUAGAUGGUGUCGGCUUUGAGAGCAAAGGGACUCCACUGAACCUUGCAACUCUUCCUGUUGCUAUGGGUCUCUAUGGUUACUGCUACUCAGGACAUGCUGUAUUCCCAAACAUUUAUACUUCACUGGAAAAACCAAACCAAUACCCUUUAAUUCUCUUAACAUGGUAACAGAAAAUUCACCUUUCACAAAAUUUCCUAUCCUUGCAUCAUUUUAUAUUAAUUGAUCUGUUAUUUUCCAUGUAGCUUUUGCAUAUGUACUAUCAUGUAUGCUGGAGUUGCUGUCAUGGGUUACACAAUGUUUGGAGAAGCAACAUUGUCACAGUUUACUCUAAACAUGCCUCACGAUUUGGUUGCCACAAAGAUUGCUGUGUGGACUACGGUAUUUGAUAAUAAUUUUUUUUGAUAUUGAUGUUUAUCGUAUGUGUUUCGAGAGGAAAAGUAGUGGUUGCUAACGUAAAAUCUGUUUUUGCAGGUAGUCAACCCAUUUACCAAAUAUCCUUUUUUGCAAGCUAUGCAGAUAAUGUGUGUUAAGUGUUAACUGAUGCACCAGCAUGCACACACAGACACUCAUAUAUGACACAUUGACACUGCAGUUGAUCGUUCAAGUGGACUGAUAUAUCAGGAGAAAAAAACACGUUCUCCUGAAAUGCAUGACGAACUGAAAUUGAAAUACAUCACAGACAUGAAUAAAAAAGGAAAAUAUAGAAAGAAAAAAAAACUCUUAUUCUCCUUAAUUAGAACCACAUAUGCAUUAACUAUGUCUCCCGUGGCAAUGAGUCUGGAGGAGCUGGUACCGUCAGACAAGUCUCGCAUGUACUCUAUCUUUAUUAGAACAGGGCUGGUGUUCUCUACCCUGGUUGUUGGUCUCUGCAUACCUUUCUUUGGUAAUCUCCCUUGAACAUUCUUCAUUGCCUUUGCUAUUCCAUUAGUACACAACAGCUUCAAUAGUAUCAACUUGUUGCAGGUCUCAUGAUGUCGUUGAUCGGAUCUUUAUUCACAAUGCUUGUAGUAAGUUGAUUUCUGUUUGCAAUCUAACCACUUUGUCUCUUCUAGUGGCAGCAACUCUUUUCACUAACCAAGUAUAUUUACUGCAGGCCUUGAUACUUCCUUGUGCUUGUUAUCUGACUAUCCGUAAGGAACAAGUAACUCGUUUUCAGGUAAAUGUGUUACUUGCAGACAAGAAACAGAAACACAUGUGCUUUCAUAUGAUCACAAUCUUUUACCUCCGGUUGAUUUUAUAGUCUGCUUGCUUCACCGACAUCUAAAAACUUCUGUUUUUCCCAUUUGCAGAUGAUACUUUGUAUUAUAAUUAUUACAGUAGGGGUGGUAGCAUCUGUCUUCGGAACAUAUUCAGCUGUAUCUAAGAUCGUGGAGAAUUUGAGCAGCUGAAGUUUUUUGGAGACACUGUAUUUCUGGAACAGUGAGGGACGCCAUGAUUCUGUAUUCUAGUUUUGUGAGAGUAUUAUAUAAUCUCAUGGUGUUCGUUUGCAAUUUUGAGUUACAUCUAAAUAAGUUAUCCCUCCACCCCCCACCCCCUAUUUUCUGUAAUACAUUUCGAUAUUCACGAUGAGUACCAUCAUACAUCCCAGAUCUCCAACACAUCCCUCAUUAUUUAGAGAUUUCAAAGAACACGUCCAUAAAUUCAGUUGCAAAAUUCAUUAGCUCCUCAGCUGACUGUGCAUAUGGCUCAUAUUUAGACUUUGGAUUUCCCAUGUCUGCAAAACAAUGUACUACCAAACUAUAGGUAUUUGAGCAAAUCAGGAUGAUCUAGAGGAGGCUUGAAAUAGUACAUAUACUAAAGGCAAACAUUAACACCUACACUAAUCACUCCUACUGUCCUACAGUUACAAUUCAAUCAAUCAAUCACCAAUUAAUCAUGAUUCAAUGCAUUUAAAGAUGAUUACAUAAAACUUGUAGAGACUAGAGACUUAUCUUCAGCUCUGUUUUGCUCUGUUGACACUUGACACAGUCUUUCCCUCUCUUCAUUCUCUCAUCUUUUCAAAAGGUUAACCUUGAUGGCAUCAAGUAUCAACUUCAUAUGGAACCAUCUCUUUCCCGCCACCCUCCACCACCAUUUGGAGCAGAAUCUUCUCUCUCUGCGUUUCCUAUUUCCUCAGUUUCUCGUUGUUUGCUUUUCCCAGAGUCCUUGGAAUCUCCAUAAAGCCAAAAGUGCAGAAGAAUCAAAAUCAUUAAACAGAGAGAAAAAAGGUUCACUACUUUUUCAUUCUUGGGUUCUCAUUCUCUCUCUUUCUGAUUCUUUCUUACGUUCAGCUCAAUUCUUUGAAUCUCUGUGACAUCACAUACUGGUUGGUUUCCGAGAAAACCAAACAGAGUGUGACAGAGAAUGUAUUCCGGAGUUUAUUCAGGUUUCAAAAUCUGGCUUGAUUUUCGCGGAACCCAAGCAUAGUGUUAUUACAUGCAUGGACCUUUUGAAACCUUCAAACUUUCUCCGCUAGUAAUUCUGCUAAACCCAUGUUUCAGUGACUGUUUGGUCUUAUCUUUCAUGGUAUGCAUUUUUCACGUAUUUGGUCUGUUUUUUAUUCUUUUCUUUGUGUGAUUUUAGUCUGAGCUGUUAGUACCAUAUAAGCUUAUAUAUAAUUAGUUGGCAAUUUAUAUAUUUUUUCUGUUUUUGCUACAAUUUUGGGACAUGUUUCUUCCAUAUACGAAACAAUGUGUUGUGUUUAUAAGCUAACUUUGUUUUCAAGUCUGAUAAUUGACCCUUUAUAUCUGAAGGAAGAUGUGUAUAAAUCUUAAGAAAGCUGUGAUUCGUUUCUACGUGUGUUUUGCAUUAGGAUAAGUAUUUUAGAGGAAGAUUUGAAUAAGGAGAUGAAGAACUCGGUGUCAGAUCACUGCUUUUACAUUGACAGUGAAGGAGAUGAUGAUGAGGAGAAGGAAAACAGAAGCGUAGAAGAUGGGAAUGAGUCUGAUUUCUCGGGUUGGGAAGCCGAGCAGCGCCAGGAGCAGCAGUUUCAGCCAAGUUCUUACAAUACACAAUGGCCUCAGAGUUACAGGUUCUCAAUCUCUCUCUCUGUUGUUUUGUGUGUUUAGCUCUCUGAAACCUUUUUGCUGAUUCUCUAUUUAUCCAUGACUUUUCAGUAUUACCCUGCAUUUUACCAUAUUGGAAUAUUGUCAGAUAAGUUUUGUAGGGAAAAGAUGCCAACUUUCUAUGGUAUUUUUGUUUCUUUGAAUAUGAUGAUGAUGAUGAAAAUCUUACCAAAUUAUAGUAAUCACUAUAUUGCAUAAGGGUAUUAGUGCCAAAAUGACAAAUUUUGCUAAAAUUUCAGUUGGCAUCACUAAGCUUUGUGGAGCUACUUCAUUGAUUGGCUGGCUUUGACAUAUUUGAUGAUGUUGAUAAUUGAGGCUAGAAGUAAAAACAGAAACUGUAGUUUUGUACUAGGGGAGGGAAAAGUUUUCUUGAUGAAAAAGGGAGCAACUGACAAGCACUUUUUCUUUGGUAAAUUCUUUUAUAUAGGGAAAGCGAGAUCUGUGACUUGUUGCUUUAGUACAUUGAUCAAUUGCUAUUGGAUAUCCUGAAUGAGAAUCUGUUCUUUCAGCUCAAAAUGCUUACAGUUUCUUGAUCAAUGUUUCAGGCAAUCUAUUGACAUGUAUAGUAGUGUACCAUCCCCUAGCAUUGGGAUUCUAGGCACUCCACUAUCAAAAUUAGGAGACUCAUUUCUUUCCUCAUCGUAUCUCUCCUCAUCACUAACGAGAAGGCAGACUCCUGAGACAUUACCAUUUUUGGCAAAACCUCCGGUACCUACUCUUGGUGAGCAACAACAUGAGAGACCAAGUUCUCAAUCUGUACACUCACAAAUUCCUUCAAGGAGGUCUUCAAUAAGAAAAGAUGAUAGACCGAGGAUUGACCAUCAUCCAAUGUCUAGCCAGAGCUCAUUCGCACAAGCUGUGCUUAAUGGUAAGUAUGGAGCAUGUAUUAGUUAUUCCUCACAUUUACUGCAACAAUUCAUUUGUUCACAAAACUUCUUCACUCUCCUUCAUGCACAUCUAACAGUUUCUUGGUAGUCAAUCAAAUCUUUUUCUAUUAUGUAGAUAAAGUUUAAAAUUCUUUCUGGGAAUCUAGAUUACUUCUUACAUAAUCAUACACAUUACAGUAACACACAAACCCAAAACAUGGACCUUGCAACUAUAUACAGCAACACUAAGAACUAGCAACCACUGGAUAGCAACAAAACUUUCUGUAUACUUUACUCACCAAACUGAAUUAUUUGAGCUUGAUCUGAUGCUAGUGUCCAUAUACAAGACCUGCAGGUUGAUGCAUCCCAAUUAGCUCAUGCAUGCAUACUCCAAGCUCACACAUUAGUAUGUUGUAUAAAAUAUAACCACAAAACUUAUUCAAAUCUGGAAAACAGAUUACUUUACACUUCAUACAGAUGAAUAUUGUAAUUUUUGUGUAGUGCAGAAAUAGCUCAUUGCUUUGUCCAUAUCCUUUAUUAUUUAGUUUGAGUUUUGUGGUGGCUUAAAUCGUAGCACAAGGUGCACAUGGAAAGAUUUAACUUGGAGCCAACUUGCAUGGGUGCCAAUUAACUUGUCUGUCCUUUGCCAAAUAGCUGUUUAAACUUUACGACUUAAAAGUUACCCUCAUUUGAUCAGGAUUCGCUCAUAGAUUCUAUUGAUUCAGGUAUCAAUGUUCUUUGUGGCGUGGGAAUUCUAUCGACACCAUAUGCAGUCAAAGAAGGAGGAUGGAUUGGGCUCUCCAUUUUGUUUAUUUUUGCAGUGCUGUCGUUCUACACUGGAUUGCUUCUGCGUUACUGCUUGGAUAGUCAACCUGAGCUUGAGACUUACCCGGAUAUUGGCCAGGCUGCAUUUGGUACCCCAGGUCGUAUUGCCAUAUCGGUAAGCUUGCUUAUAGUAUGCAUUACUGCACAAGUCUUUUGUAGCUUGCAGAUCAAUGUGCAUUUACUGGAUGUGUUACUUUCUCAGACUGUACAUCUGAAGUUCCAAACUUUAUAUAUUUAACCAAAUACAGUUUAAUAUUUCACUUAUUUCAUUGUCUAAUUUAAGUUCUCUUUUUAUGCCUGCAGAUAGUACUGUAUGUGGAAUUAUAUGUAAGUAGAGCUGGCUUGACUGAGUGAGUAUGGUUAUUCUGUCUUGGUGCUUAGUUACCGCAGUUUCCAAUUUGUCUGUAGAAAGAAUCCCCUAUUCACCUCAUUCGAUUCUCAAUUUACAAAUUUUAUGAUUUUGAAUACAAAUCAUCUUUUAAACACAGAGUCUGUGUUCACCUUUAGUUCACAUAGGUCACCUGUUAUGAAUUUUUAUGUACUUACAGGUUUCUUGCAUAGACUAUAUAAUUAUGGAGGGUGACAACUUGUCCUCACUAUUCCCAAAUACACACCUGAACUUGGGUGGAUUUGAGUUAAAUGCACACGUUCUGUUUGCGAUUUUCACCACCCUUGCUGUUCUACCUACUGUUUGGCUUCGAGACCUCAGU